Long non-coding RNA from Medicago truncatula (barrel medic), 1134 nucleotides. RefSeq lists it as uncharacterized. The transcript has 2 exons. Lineage: Eukaryota; Viridiplantae; Streptophyta; Magnoliopsida; Fabales; Fabaceae. The record is from RefSeq and is a predicted model, not a curated record.
CCUUUUUUUUUUUUUUUUUAACAAAACAAAACUUUUCAUCUUUUACGAUCGUGAUUCAUUAUUCCACAAUUGCUUCUCCCCUUCCAUUCAUUUUCAUCAAUUGUCUAUCUCUCUUUCGAUGAUUCAUUCAUCACCUGCUGCCUAUCUUACGACCAUCAGUUCUCACCGCUGCUGUCUGUCACCUACCUAUCGAGCACCACCUCUCACCGUUGUUGUCGACUGAUUUCCAUCUUCUUCAUUCCAGGGAGUAGAUGAGUCUCACAAGGAAGGAGUUAAUGUACUCUUCAAUUGUAUGGUUUGAUUUUUUCUAUUUUCAAAUUUACCCUUUGUUGCCACCAAUUACUUCAACACGUUAAGAGAGUAACUGCAACAUGCAACAAUAUGAAGAAGCGAAUAUAUACAAUUGUUAAAGGCAAAAACAAACUUAACGGUAAAAAAGAGUUUUCAGCCAGUUUUAAUAGUUUAGUUUUUUUUUAAUAAACCGCACAACAAAGGAGGUUAUCAGAUUUAAUCUUUACGCUACUGACCCACAUAAAGAGCUGAGUGAAAAAGAUAGAAGGGGAGAUGGAGCACCAAGCAAGUCACCGGAGAAAGGUUGUUUGGUUGUCGUAAAUGUGAAGAAGUAAAAGGAGGGGAGGGGAGUUUUGUCUACACGACAAAAUAUAAGAACAGCAGGGGUGGUUGGAAUUACUUAUAUGCGGUAUUCAACAAUUCAUAUGCAUGAACAAAAAUACAAUUUUAGCUUUGGUGCUUGAAUGCAAAAACCAAUUCAGGCACUUCUCAAUUGGGGAAUACAAACUUUGGUAACAAUUCUAAUUUAUCUCUUCAUCAAUAUUACCUUUUCAAUGGUUGUUUUAAAUUGUUAUUUUUUUUCUUAGGGUGUAGGGACCAGAUUAGAAGUUCUAAUCCCAAAAGAGAUAAGGCGUCAAAGGAGAAACUCACACCAACAUAAUAGACAAUAGUUGCAAUUUAAUUCUAUGUGUGCAUGGCUGGGUUUGUGUGUGUUGGUGACGGAUGAGAAUGUUGUAAUUUCUACUAUUUUCUUUGAUUAAUUCACUUCAAAUGUACUGCACAAAUGAGAAAUUUUUUUUUACUGUAAAGUAAAUUAUUUUCAUUGGUUGGUUUCAAUUGCAA